CCAAGGAGUCUAACAUGCGCGCGAGUCGUUGGGUAGUACGAAACCCGAAGGCGAAGUGAAAGCGAGGGCCGUCUCUGACGAGCUCAGGUGGGAUCCCUCUCUUCCGGGAGGGGGCGCACCACCGGCCCGUCUCGUCCGCGUUGUCGGUGAGGCGGAGCAUGAGCGCGCACGUUGGGACCCGAAAGAUGGUGAACUAUGCCUGAGUAGGACGAAGCCAGAGGAAACUCUGGUGGAGGUCCGCAGCGAUUCUGACGUGCAAAUCGAUCGUCAAACUUGGGUAUAGGGGCGAAAGACUAAUCGAACCAUCUA
RNAcentral lists this ribosomal RNA (309 nucleotides) under Littorina littorea. RNAcentral describes it as "eukaryotic LSU rRNA". It matches the Rfam family "Eukaryotic large subunit ribosomal RNA", at positions 666 to 946 of the family's 3401-position model. The record is from RNAcentral. Lineage: Eukaryota; Metazoa; Mollusca; Gastropoda; Littorinimorpha; Littorinidae.